This 459-nucleotide ribosomal RNA is filed under the name uncultured bacterium. RNAcentral's name for it is "bacterial SSU rRNA". It matches the Rfam family "Bacterial small subunit ribosomal RNA", at positions 32 to 465 of the family's 1533-position model. The record is from RNAcentral.
AAUCAACGCUGGCGGCGUGCCUCAGACAUGCAAGUCGAACGCGAAAUUUCCCUUCGGGGAGAAAGUAGAGUGGCGCACGGGUGAGUAACACGUAGGUAAUUUGCCUUUGGGUGGGGAAUAACUCAGGGAAACUUGAGCUAAUACCGCAUAAUGCAGCGGCUCGACAUCGAGACAGUUGUUAAAGCGGGGGAUUGGAGCAAUCCGACCUCGCGCCUAAAGAGAAGCCUGCGGCAGAUUAGCUAGUUGGUAAGGUAAUGGCUUACCAAGGCGACGAUCUGUAACCGGCCUGAGAGGGCGGUCGGUCACACUGACACUGACAUACGGGUCAGACUCCUACGGGAGGCAGCAGUCGGGAAUUUUGGGCAAUGGGCGCAAGCCUGACCCAGCAACGCCGCGUGAAGGAUGAAAUUUUCGGAAUGUAAACUUCGCAAGAACAGGAAGAAUAAGUGUGGGACAAUA